AGCCUUGCUGAAUGUAAAUACAUGUUGUUUUUUUUUUGUUUGUUUCACACGUUAAACUAUUGCACAGAAAGAAGAUACACAAUCAUUUUAAUUUAACUACAAAUGAAAUGAGGAGAAGCAGGUAUUUUCUUCGUAUAACAUUUCUUUGAAUCCAUAUCAAAAUGAAAUCAAAGUUGUAGUUCGGUGCUAUCACAACCGAGCAAAACAACAUUCAGAUGCAGGCGAUUAUAAUAUUACAGGAAGGAAUAAUGUAUAGCCACGAUGCUAAACAGAUAUACUUCAGAGAUGCCCUUUUCAGUCCUAACAACAAUUGUAUUGACAAACAAGAGCUGUAAAUUACCACCAAGGACCAGGCCAACCAGUAGUGACACGACAAUAAUGAGAGGGUCUUACGAAAGCAACGUCUACUGCUCCGCAUGUUGAUGUAACGGUUUCCAUUAUUCUGAACUUCUACAGAAUCCACUGCAGAAAAUCAUUUUAAUCAAUUGAUCAUCGUUUAUGAACAAUAGGGUAGACUGAAGCAAAUUAAGUCUGAACAUUACCUUAUUAAGUAUACAAUAUUUUGAAAAUUCCGUACUCCUAGGAAAAUUCUGAAACGUAAAGUCCUGGAGCAAAUGUUCAGUAUUUCAUUAAGUUUGCUAAAUUAUUCGCUGCAGUAAAGUUGGUACUGCUCAGACAGUUUAAAUUUAAUAAUUUGUUCACGAUAAAUUAGGAAAUUAUUUCAUAUUACAAUUACAAAUGUAUCUUAUAUUUUAUCAACCAAUCGAAUGUUUGAUUAUACAAAGUCUGUUCCGUGUCAAAUCAAUACAGGAUGGGUUUUUUUAAUUUCUCUUUUUUAUUUUGUAAAUAAAUAUUUUCAUCGAUUUUACUGAUUAA
Molecule: long non-coding RNA, 876 nt
Organism: Mytilus trossulus (common blue mussel)
Lineage: Eukaryota; Metazoa; Mollusca; Bivalvia; Mytilida; Mytilidae
Exons: 2
Source: RefSeq, a predicted model, not a curated record